CACACUGUGUUCCUUAACCAAAAGACUCAGCACACAUUCUUCCGUGGCUUCAUCUUCACAUACUCCCCCACCCUUUCUUCUUUCCUUUUUCUUUAUGGUCGUACCAGACGAAGCUAUUGACUACAGCGACCAGCCAUCAAUACCGCUAUUGAUUUAGCAACCAAGUUGUAAUCUGCCAUCAAUAACAUAGGACCACUUGAAUGUACAUAAAACAUGCCCUUAUUUCAUUCACUCUCCUACGAAACACUGAAGUACUUGCAAGUUGGAAGAAGCGCAUGCAUGCGUGCUUAAGCUAUAUGAGGACAGCAGAAUAUAGCUCAACUUCUACUGCAUAAGUUGCUUACCAUUCAUUUGUGAGCAGUAGAAGAUGAAUCAGUGUCGGAACAACUCAAUUUUGUAAGGGAGAUUUAUCUUUUGACUUAGACCAUGUGUGAAAUUGGAGCUUAGUGAGAGCUUCACAGUAAGCAGCAUUCGACAUGUUUGCGAAAAUGACUCCUGCGCGAGUGCUGCGACACACACAGCUCAUAGAAAUGGUUGGUCGCUAGUCCUAAUCAAUGACUCAUGCUUUGUCUUCUUACAUACCAAGCAAAUAGAUCUUAUCACCGAGAGUCUUGUUCCUUUGUGAGCACUGAAAGAGAAGUGUAAAAACAUGAAAUGACCAAGUUAGCUACGCUUGUUGAUCCAUCCAGUGCGAGAGCUUGGCCUUGGUGGAGAAGAAGCUGAAAGAGAUGGUCAUACCUUACAUCCAGAAUCGAGUGGAGGAAGGUGGGAUCUACGUGGACCAAUUAUUUUUCCAUGACCCGGAUGGCUUCAUGAUCGAGAUCUGCAACUGCGAGAACCUCCCGGUGAUCUCACUUUCCGGGGAACCCAUUAUGGCCUGCAAGAGAGUCGUCAGCUUCACUCCGCAGCAACAGCAGCAGCAACAGUAUCUCCCGCAAGCCAUCCAUGUCAAGGAGGAGCCCUGCGCAUGAAGAAGAAUGAUCGAGCAUCUCCUCCAUCUCUUUCGGUUUGCUUGCUUUAGUAUGUAUGGUGUUCUGUCGCCAGGACGACAUGGCUUCUUGUGCCUU
This 1067-nucleotide long non-coding RNA is filed under the name Musa acuminata (dwarf banana). RNAcentral describes it as "long non-coding RNA (MACU_LNC003040)". The record is from RNAcentral. Lineage: Eukaryota; Viridiplantae; Streptophyta; Magnoliopsida; Zingiberales; Musaceae.